RNAcentral lists this ribosomal RNA (559 nucleotides) under Cordyceps sp. CCRC 32221. RNAcentral describes it as "eukaryotic LSU rRNA". The stretch from base 166 to 319 matches the Rfam family "5.8S ribosomal RNA". The record is from RNAcentral. Lineage: Eukaryota; Fungi; Ascomycota; Sordariomycetes; Hypocreales; Cordycipitaceae.
UCCGUUGGUGAACCAGCGGAGGGAUCAUUACCGAGUUAUCCAACUCCCAACCCCUGCGAAUUAUACCUUUAAUUGUUGCUUCGGCGGGACUUCGCGCCCGCCGGGGACCCAAACCUUCUGAAUUUUUUAAUAAGUAUCUUCUGAGUGGUUAAAAAAAUGAAUCAAAACUUUCAACAACGGAUCUCUUGGUUCUGGCAUCGAUGAAGAACGCAGCGAAAUGCGAUAAGUAAUGUGAAUUGCAGAAUUCAGUGAAUCAUCGAAUCUUUGAACGCACAUUGCGCCCGCCAGUAUUCUGGCGGGCAUGCCUGUCCGAGCGUCAUUUCAACCCUCGAACCCCUCCGGGGGGUCGGCGUUGGGGAUCGGGAACACCCCUCAGACGGGAUCCCGGCCCCCGAAAUACAGUGGCGGUCUCGCCGCAGCCUCUCCUGCGCAGUAGUUUGCACAACUCGCACCGGGAGCGCGGCGCGUCCACGUCCGUAAAACACCCAACUUUCUGAAAUGUUGACCUCGGAUCAGGUAGGAAUACCCGCUGAACUUAAGCAUAUCAAUAAGCGGAGGA